UUUUCUUUCCAUUGUUAUCCUAAUCUUGAGUUAAGUCUUUUAUGGAUUCCAUCAAACGGAUUGGCUUCCAAAUCUUAAGAAAAAUGAAGAAAAGGAACCCCAAACGUUAUGCAAACUCUGAUCUGGAAGAAAUUAGUGUUGUGGAGUAUGAUUUCAUUACCCUUCAGAAUGCAACAAAUAACUUCUCUGAGAAAAACAAGAUAGGAGGAGGAGGUUUUGGUGUUGUAUACAAGGAAUUUGGUGAGGCUUCUUGGUUUUAGCUUGGAAGGAAAAGAAGUGCUUUUGGUAUAUGAAUUCGUUCCCAAUGGCAGCCUUGACAAUUUUUUAUUUGUUAAAUGUUCACAUGCAGAUCCUGUA
Molecule: long non-coding RNA, 357 nt
Organism: Ipomoea nil (Japanese morning glory)
Lineage: Eukaryota; Viridiplantae; Streptophyta; Magnoliopsida; Solanales; Convolvulaceae
Exons: 4
Source: RefSeq, a predicted model, not a curated record